Molecule: long non-coding RNA, 209 nt
Filed under: Xyrichtys novacula (pearly razorfish)
Lineage: Eukaryota; Metazoa; Chordata; Actinopteri; Labriformes; Labridae
Source: RNAcentral
UUGACAAGAAACACUUCUGUUACAGACACUUGUCUUACUUUGUUAAAGCGGUUUACCUGUCCAGCAGAAAGGUUACAGGGUCACCAAGAUCCCCAAGCGUCCCCCAUCGUUUAUGUUGACCCGGCUUUUUAGCUCUUGUCCGGUCUACCUCCGUUUUAAGCGCCCGUUAUUCCUCCAGAGUCUCCGGUAUUUACUUUGUUUUCUUGCUU